Molecule: transfer RNA, 73 nt
Filed under: Ixodes scapularis (black-legged tick)
Lineage: Eukaryota; Metazoa; Arthropoda; Arachnida; Ixodida; Ixodidae
Rfam family: tRNA
About the family: Transfer RNA (tRNA) molecules are approximately 80 nucleotides in length.
Source: Rfam by way of RNAcentral
UCCUGGUUAGCUAAGUUGGUAGAGCGCUCCACUGGAAAAAGAGAGGUCUCUGGUUUGGUACCAGAACCAGGCG